CGGGUGAGUAACACGUGGAUGACCUACCUAUAAGACUGGGAUAACUUCGGGAAACCGGAGCUAAUACCGGAUAAUAUAUUGAACCGCAUGGUUCAAUAGUGAAAGACGGUUUUGCUGUCACUUAUAGAUGGAUCCGCGCCGCAUUAGCUAGUUGGUAAGGUAACGGCUUACCAAGGCAACGAUGCGUAGCCGACCUGAGAGGGUGAUCGGCCACACUGGAACUGAGACACGGUCCAG
This 237-nucleotide ribosomal RNA is filed under the name uncultured Staphylococcus sp. Its description in RNAcentral is "partial 16S ribosomal RNA". It matches the Rfam family "Bacterial small subunit ribosomal RNA", at positions 103 to 334 of the family's 1533-position model. The record is from RNAcentral. Lineage: Bacteria; Bacillati; Bacillota; Bacilli; Caryophanales; Staphylococcaceae.